GAUGAACGCUGGCGGCGUGCCUAAUACAUGCAAGUCGAGCGAACAGACGAGGAGCUUGCUCCUCUGACGUUAGCGGCGGACGUGUGAGUAACACGUGGAUAACCUACCUAUAAGACUGGGAUAAAUUCGGGAAACCGGAGCUAAUACCGGAUAAUAUAUUGAACCGCAUGGUUCAAUAGUGAAAGACGGUUUUGCUGUCACUUAUAGAUGGAUCUGCGCCGCAUUAGCUAGUUGUUAAGGUAACGGCUUACCAAGGCAACGAUGCGUAGCCGACCUGAGAGGGUGAGCGGCCACACUGGAACUGAGACACGUUCCAGACACCUACGGGAGGCAGCAGUAGGAAAUCUUCCGCAAUGGGCGAAAGCGUGACGGAGCAACGCCGCGUGAGUGAUGAAGGUCUUCGGAUCGUAAAACUCUGUUGUUAGGGAAGAACAAAUGUGUAAGUAACUAGGCACGUCUUGACGGUACCUAAUCAGAAAGCCACGGCUAACUACGUG
RNAcentral lists this ribosomal RNA (497 nucleotides) under uncultured bacterium. RNAcentral's name for it is "partial 16S ribosomal RNA". It matches the Rfam family "Bacterial small subunit ribosomal RNA", at positions 28 to 507 of the family's 1533-position model. The record is from RNAcentral.